Molecule: ribosomal RNA, 501 nt
Filed under: uncultured bacterium
Lineage: Bacteria
Description: partial 16S ribosomal RNA
Rfam family: Bacterial small subunit ribosomal RNA
Source: RNAcentral
AUUGAACGCUGGCGGCAGGCUUAACACAUGCAAGUCGAGCGGGGGGAGGUAGCUUGCUACCGGACCUAGCGGCGGACGGGUGAGUAAUGCUUAGGAAUCUGCCUAUUAGUGGGGGACAACAUCUCGAAAGGGAUGCUAAUACCGCAUACGUCCUACGGGAGAAAGCAGGGGAUCUUCGGACCUUGCGCUAAUAGAUGAGCCUAAGUCGGAUUAGCUAGUUGGUGGGGUAAAGGCCUACCAAGGCGACGAUCUGUAGCGGGGCUGAGAGGAUGAUCCGCCACACUGGGACUGAGACACGGCCCAGACUCCUACGGGAGGCAGCAGUGGGGAAUAUUGGACAAUGGGGGGAACCCUGAUCCAGCCAUGCCGCGUGUGUGAAGAAGGCCUUAUGGUUGUAAAGCACUUUAAGCGAGGAGGAGGCUACUUUAGUUAAUACCUAGAGAUAGUGGACGCUACUCGCAGAAUAAGCACCGGCUAACUCUGUGCCAGCCGCCGCGGUAA